UGGGUGGUGUGCGGUGUAGUUUGGGUACAGGCUGGACUAGCCAGUUGGCGGUCCGUUGAGAUUAGGUCAAUGUAAUUGAGUUGUAGUUAGUGAUGUAUGUCUAUGUCUACAGAGAGUAUCGUUUGGAUAGGCAUAUAGCUGUAGAGUUUCUACUUAUUUUACUAUCCUUUGCAUACCUUUCCUAUAGACUUAGUGGGUAGGCCGUUGGGGUCGGUGAUGGUACCCAUUAAGGACUACUCUGUUUUGCAGUAGUUCUCACACCCAGUUGUUGCCAUCUUUUGCAGAGCCUUCGUCUGCUACUGCUGUUGCUGAUUCUGAUCGAAGUAAGGAAGUCGCGAGCUAGAUCCCUAUCGAUCGAUCACCUACUAGAGGAGUUCUCCUACUAGAGGUAGUUUUUGUUAUGCCAUGUACAUACAUGAUGUUUAUUUUAGUUUUUGUUCUGUGAGAGGCUGGUGGUUUUUGAAACUUGUAUGUACAGUGGACCGUUUAUGUAUUUAUAUAUGUUUCAGUUUUAGCGGCUCUAUACUUAUGGUUGUAGCUAUGAUCUGUUUAUAGGUACAGCUAUCGCUUCGUAUAUAUGAAAAAUUUCUAUGUAUACGGCGGAUCUGUUGGCUAGUCCGAAAAACGUAGCAAUCCAGGGCAUGACAA
Molecule: long non-coding RNA, 648 nt
Filed under: Ananas comosus (pineapple)
Lineage: Eukaryota; Viridiplantae; Streptophyta; Magnoliopsida; Poales; Bromeliaceae
Description: long non-coding RNA (ACOM_LNC010759)
Source: RNAcentral